This 363-nucleotide unclassified non-coding RNA is filed under the name uncultured bacterium. Its description in RNAcentral is "contains 16S-23S intergenic spacer region". The record is from RNAcentral.
UCCGGGUUUAUCCCAGCCUCCCUAGAAUAUUCAACUAAGGACAGGGGUUGCGCUCGUUGCGGGACUUAACCCAACACCUCACGGCACGAGCUGACGACAGCCAUGUACCACCUGCGCAGAAGUCCCUUGCGGGAGGUGCUCACUUUCGUGAGCAUUUCCUCUGCAUGUCAAGCCCAGGUAAGGUUGUUCGCGUUGCGUCGAAUUAAACCACAUGCUCCACCGCUUGUGCGGGCCCCCGUCAAUUCCUUUGAGUUUCAGCCUUGCGGCCGUACUCCCCAGGCGGGACACUUACUGCGUUAGCGACGGCACCGAGGGGGUCGCUCCCCCCGACGCCUAGUGUCCAUCGUUUACGGCGUGGACUAC